RNAcentral lists this ribosomal RNA (649 nucleotides) under uncultured bacterium. Its description in RNAcentral is "bacterial SSU rRNA". It matches the Rfam family "Bacterial small subunit ribosomal RNA", at positions 1 to 637 of the family's 1533-position model. The record is from RNAcentral.
GGUGCUCUAGAUUAGAGAUGAUCCUGGCUCUGAUGAACGCUAGCUACAGGCUUAACACAUGCAAGUCGAGGGGCAGCGUGAAGUAGCAAUACUCUGACGGCGACCGGCGAAAGGGUGAGUAACGCGUGAGCAACAUGCCCGGUACCGGGGGAUAGUCGAUGGAAACGUCGUGUAAUACCCCGUAACAACAGAGGCCGCAUGACCUUUGUUUAAGAGAUUUAUCGCUACCGGAUUGGCUCGCGUCCCAUUUUGCAGUUCCGCCCGUGUAACGGCCCACCAAACCGACUAUGGGUAGGGGUUCUGAGAGCGACCGCCCCCCCACAUUGGAACUGACACACGGUCCAGACUCCUACGGGAGGCAGCAGUGAGGAAUAUUGGAACAAUGGCCGAGAGGCUGAUCCAGCCAUGCCGCGUGCGGGAGGACGGCCCCUAUGGGUUGUAACCGCUUUUUGUUGGAAAGCAAUAAGGUCCACGUGUGGAUCGAUGGAGAGUAUCCAGCGAAUAGCAUCGCUUACUCCGUGCCAGCAGCCGCGGUAAUUACGGAAGAUGCAGCGUUAUCCGGAUUUAUUGGGUUUAAAGGGUGCGUAGGCGGAUGAUUAGCGUGAAGUGAAAUGCCACUGCUCACAGUGGAACUGCCUCGGUAACUGGC